GGAGAGGUACCGAAGCGGUCAUAACGGCGCCGACUCGAAAUCGGAUGGUGGGCGAAAGCCCGCACAAGGGUUCGAAUCCCUUCCUCUCCGCCA
This 93-nucleotide transfer RNA is filed under the name Rhodocyclaceae bacterium. Its description in RNAcentral is "tRNA-Ser". It matches the Rfam family "tRNA". From Rfam's summary of the family: Transfer RNA (tRNA) molecules are approximately 80 nucleotides in length. Their secondary structure includes four short double-helical elements and three loops (D, anti-codon, and T loops). Further hydrogen bonds mediate the characteristic L-shaped molecular structure. tRNAs have two regions of fundamental functional importance: the anti-codon, which is responsible for specific mRNA codon recognition, and the 3' end, to which the tRNAs corresponding amino acid is attached (by aminoacyl-tRNA synthetases). tRNAs cope with the degeneracy of the genetic code in two manners: having more than one tRNA (with a specific anti-codon) for a particular amino acid; and 'wobble' base-pairing, i.e. permitting non-standard base-pairing at the 3rd anti-codon position. Lineage: Bacteria; Pseudomonadati; Pseudomonadota; Betaproteobacteria; Rhodocyclales; Rhodocyclaceae. The record is from RNAcentral.